This is a long non-coding RNA of Amphibalanus amphitrite, 495 nucleotides long. RefSeq lists it as uncharacterized. The record is from RefSeq and is a predicted model, not a curated record. NCBI's taxonomy places the organism in Eukaryota, Metazoa, Arthropoda, Thecostraca, Balanomorpha, Balanidae. The transcript has 3 exons.
CGAGGAUCUGUCUACUGCAGGCAUUGAGAGGCCCAACGCCAGGAUGAAGGAGUUGAUGCAUUUGUGGCCCGCCUCCGACGAUGGAGGAGGUUGACAAGCAGGCGGAGGUGAUGGAGAGUGGCGGAGGCCAGGAGAGCGGCUUCGCAGAGGCUCAUGCCGUCCGUCACAGAGGUCAGCAGCGGCUCGCCACCGGGAGUCGCAAGGCAGACGAGCCUUCCGAAGGUGAGAAGCAGAAAUGUUUUCGGUGUGGCCGGAAGAAUCACGACUCUGAAGAUUGCUUCUUUCAGGGCAGAAAAUGUUUCAAUUGUGGGAAGCUAGGACACAUGGCAAAGAUGUGCCGAAAACCGCGGCUUGAUGCUAAACGCUCACAGGCUAAUGUGGUGUCUGAACAUGAGGAUCAUGUGUUCGGAGUCACGUCUAAUUCUACGGCUGCCCGGUUCCCAGUGCAGGUUGGUGACGCUGUCUGUCACGUGUUGAUCGACUCGGGAGCCACCU